This 1163-nucleotide long non-coding RNA is filed under the name Prunus dulcis (almond). RNAcentral describes it as "sRNA ncRNA". Lineage: Eukaryota; Viridiplantae; Streptophyta; Magnoliopsida; Rosales; Rosaceae. The record is from RNAcentral.
GUUUGGAGGAAGUUGAUUUAGUAACCAAGGGGUCCAACAAUUGAUGCAGCAGAUUCCUUUUUUCCAUAUAGAAAAUGUAGAAAUCUUUUCUUUGAGAAGAGGAGCUGGUGGGCAUGGAAAAAAGCUACCACAAACCAAGGACUUCAUGAUAACACACAAUAGCUUGGAUUUUUGUUCAAAGUUUCAACAGACGAACCAAACAGCAAUCAUGAUGCCUUCCUCCUUGGCCUUCCCUCUGACUCUCCACCUCCAUCAUUACCCCCUCACCCCCUCCUCCUUUAUCAUCAUCAUCAUCACCAUCAUCAUCAUCCACCAACCCCACCAUCAUCAUCAUCUUCUUCUUCUUCUUCAACUCUCAUCACCAAGAGUACUUCUACUUCCAAAGCAAGAAGCAGCUCAAGAUCAACCACAACCAGAAGCACAAGAAGAAGCAGAAGCACAAGAAGAAGAAAAGGAGGGAGCUGGCAUAGGCUUCAUUACUUCUACUUCUUAUGAGAUCAUGGAAACCCUAAUUAUACUUGUAUGAGUGAGCACUAGAGAAGGGUCUUUUCCUCCAACAAAAGGCUCCAACUCACUCUGGCUCCAGGGGAAUCAAGCAUCUCGGUCCGAUCAUUUGCUACCUCAAAGCUAGCAAAUCCACAUACCUACUUUCUGAAUUUUUUGGCUACUUAGGUUUUUUUUUCUUUUUUUUUUCUUUUUUUUUUUUUCAUUUUGAUUAUCUUUAUCUGCUUUCAAGUAAAGUUCUUUUCUUUUUAAGCAACAUGUGUUCCAUUUCAACUCAUAUCUAAUUAGUGUUUCUGUGCAAACAUAUGAGAGCAUGAUGAUCACGGCACUUGGGCUGAAUAUUUUGUUGUAAGAAUUUGUUUGCAUACUGCUGUCGUAAGUAAUGAUGCAAGAUUAUUAUUUAGGCAAAUUCUAGUGUUGCAUCCUCAUGUCUUGUAAUAAAUGGUUUUUUCUUUCUUUCUGUGUUUUCUUGAAAACAUGCGCAAUCAUGCAUGUUCUGAAAGAGCUGCUUCCAUUGUCUCUCUCAGUCUCUAACUUCAAUGCCUUGCUGCUGUAAGCCCUGCAAAACAGUACAUCUGUAUCCGCCAGCUAGGGUUUGGUUAAUUUGGUUUGGCUCAUUCUUAAUCUGCUAGGUUUGAUUGGAUUAACAUGGAUCUUCA